Molecule: ribosomal RNA, 1305 nt
Filed under: Calonitophyllum medium
Lineage: Eukaryota; Rhodophyta; Florideophyceae; Ceramiales; Delesseriaceae
Description: LSU rRNA
Rfam family: Eukaryotic large subunit ribosomal RNA
Source: RNAcentral
GCCUAUUUUUGGUGUAUUCAAUGCAUGUUGAUGCUGCCGUCGUGGGUUUCCGGUGGCCGAAAUUGGGCCUACUGGGGGCUGAGGGCUCCUUCUUUUUUUAGAGGUGAGGACGAUGGAAGACCGACGCGAUACGACCCGUCUUGAAACACGGACCAAGGAGUCUAGCGUAGCUGCGAGUCAAAGGGUGUGAAAACCUGAGGGCGCAGUGAAAGCAAAUUGUUAAAACUAGCAGUUUGAGGCGGCAUGCGAUCGUUGAUCGCAAGUCCGACCUAGAGCAGCUAUGCUAGGACCCGAAAGAUGGUGAACUAUGCCGGAGUAGGGCGAAGCCAGAGGAAACUCUGGUGGAGGCUCGUAGCGGUGCUGACGUGCAAAUCGCUCGUCGAACUCGGGUAUAGGGGCGAAAGACUAAUCGAACCAUCUAGUAGCUGGUUUCCUCCGAAGUUUCUCUCAGGAUAGCAGGCCGAGUGUUAGGUGUUGUUGUGUGCGGUAAAGCCAAUGAUUAGCGUAGUUGGGGGCAUUGAGCCUUCGGACGAUUCUCAAACUUUAAAUGCGCACGGAUGUUGCUGCUUUAUUGAGCGACAUCAGUAAAAACCUCGGCUUUGUGGGCCAUUUUUGGUAAGCAGAACUGGCGAUACGGGAUGAACCGCAAGCGUGGUUAAGGCGCCAAAUUAUCCGCUUAUAGAACCCAAAAAAGGUGUUGAUUCAUCGAGACAGCAGGACGGUGGCCAUGGAAGUCGGAAUCCGCUAAGGAGUGUGUAACAACUCACCUGCCGAAUGAAUUAGCCCUGAAAAUGGAUGGCGCUGAAGCGGGUAGCCGACACCACGCCGUUUGAACGACAUAUUGUUUCAAAUGAGUAGGAGGACGUGGCGGUCGUAUCGAAGCGUGCGUGCAAACGUGCGUGGAACGGCCGCUAGUGCAGAUCUUGGUGCUAGUAGCAAAUAUUCAAGCGAGAACCUUGAAGGGUGAAGCGGGGAAGGGUUCCACGCGAACAUUGAUUGGGCGUGGGUGAGUCGUUCCUAAGCCGAGUGGCAAUAGCUAAUUACCGGCGAAAGGGAAGCAGGUUGACAUUCCUGCACACGGAUGUGGAUGCGGUGACGCAUUAUUGGGGCGAAGACGCUGGCGAUGGCACUGGGCAGAGUUUUCUUUUCUGUUUAACCGACCGAGUGCGCUGUGUGGAAUCCGCUUGUCGGGAGAUACACGCGCGUCUGGGCAGAGCGCCGGGAUUUUUCCGGCGUCCAGUGCGCCAUUGACGGCCCUUGAAAAUUCGCUUGCUGGGUAGGGAGGAUUCCUCUUACGGGGUUCAC